UACAGAGGGGGCAAGCGUUGUUCGGAAUUACUGGGCGUAAAGCGCGCGUAGGCGGCUUUGCAAGUCGGGUGUGAAAUCCCCAGGCUUAACCUGGGAACUGCAUUCGAGACUGCAUUGCUAGAGUAUGGGAGAGGGAAGUGGAAUUUCCGGUGUAGCGGUGAAAUGCGUAGAUAUCGGAAGGAACAUCAGUGGCGAAAGCGACUUCCUGGACCAAUACUGACGCUCAUGUGCGAAAGCGUGGGGAGCAUACAGG
Molecule: ribosomal RNA, 253 nt
Filed under: uncultured bacterium
Lineage: Bacteria
Description: partial 16S ribosomal RNA
Rfam family: Bacterial small subunit ribosomal RNA
Source: RNAcentral